GCGGUAGGAGAGUGUUCUAUGUCGGAUGAAGCAUUACUGUAAGGUAGUGUGGACUUCAUAGAAGUAAGAAUGCUAGCAUGAGUAACGACGACGAGUAAAAAUCUCGUCCGCCGAAACAGUAAGGAUUCCUACGCAACGUUUAUCGUCGUAGGGUUAGCCGAGACCUAAGACUUUCCUAGAAAUAGGAUGCCGAUGGAUAGCAGGUUAAUAUUCCUGCGCUUAUUUAUACAGUGAUGUGGUAACACAUUGGGAUAACUGAGAGCUCACUAAGGAUGUGAGUCAAGAUUACAAGGUGAUUCCGACUUGUCGGAAUGUACAUGUAGGGAAGUCCGCAUGUGUUUCAAAUCGAGUUUGAUUGAAAAUGAUCCUCUCGGGGUGAUUUAUUCUCAUCGUUCUGGUGUCGAGAAAACCCACUAAACUUAUGUAUAAGUAACUCGUACUCAGAUCAAACACCUGUACUGUGGUAGAGAAUACCAAGGCGAUUGGGUUAACUAAUGGAUAAGGAACUUGGCAAAUUAGCGGGCGUACUUUCGAAAUAAGCCCUGCCUGAGCGAUCAGGCCGCAGCGAAUGACGUGGGGGGGACUGUUUAUCACAAACACAGCUCUCUGCUAACAUGCAAAUGGAUGUAUAGAGGGUGAUGCCUGUCCAAUGCCAGAAUGUUACUCUCUCUUGUGAAAGCUCGAGAGUUAAGCACUGGUGAAUGACGGCCGUAACUAUGACGGUCCUAAGGUAGCGAAAUUCCUUGUCGGGUAAGUUCCGACGCGCAUGAACGGCACAACCAUCCCCACACUGUCUUGUCCUUAGACCCAGUGAAAUUAUAAUCCUGGUAAAAAUACCAGGUAGUUGCAGUUAGACGGAAAGACCCUAUGAAGCUUUACUGUAGAUUGAUAUUGGGCUGUAGCAUGAAUUGCUCAGCAUAGGUGGGAGGCUUUGAGGUUUCUCCUUCGGGAGGGGCUGAGCCAUCGUUGAGAUACCACCCAAAGCAUGUCGCAUCUCUAACCUCAAAAAGAUGGGGAACAGUGUCAGUUGGACAGUUUACCUGGGGCGGGUGCCUCCUAAAAAGUAACGGAGGCGUACAAAGGUUUGCUUACUACGGAUGGAAACCGUGGUGGACGUGUAUUCGCACAAGCAAGCUUAACUGUGAGACUUACAGGUCGAACAGAUAGGAAACUAGGUGAAAGUGAUCCGGAUCUUCCAAGUGGAAGGGGAUCCGCUCAACGGAUAAAAGUUACUCUGGGGAUAACAGGCUAAUGGUAUCUAAGCGUUCAUAGCGACGAUACCGUUUGGCACCUCGAUGUCGGCUCGUCGCAUCCUGGGGCUGUAGAAGGUCCCAAGGGUUGGGUUGUUCACCCAUUAAAGCGGAACGCGAGCUGGGUUCAGAACGUCGUGAGACAGUUCGGUCCCUAUCUACUGUAACCGUAAGAAAUUUGAAAGGUGCUGUCCCUAGUACGAGAGGACCGGGAUGGACUAGCCUCUGGUAGUACCAGUUGUCGCACCAGCGGCACGGCUGGAUAGCUAUGCUAGGAAAAGGUAACCACUGAAAGCAUCUAAGUGGGAAACUUGCCUUAAGAUUAGAUUUCUCUCUCUUUAUGAGUUAAGAACCCUGCGAGACUAGCAGGUUGAUAGGCGUCAUGUGUAAGUCCAGUGAUGGAUUCAGCAGAGAUGUACUAAUAGUUCGAGCGAGUUUU
This 1689-nucleotide ribosomal RNA is filed under the name bovine gut metagenome. RNAcentral's name for it is "bacterial LSU rRNA". It matches the Rfam family "Bacterial large subunit ribosomal RNA", at positions 1225 to 2925 of the family's 2925-position model. The record is from RNAcentral.